AUGAACUGUGAGAUCAUGACCUGAGCUGAAGACAGAGGCUCAACCUACUGAGCCACCCAGGUGCCCCUGGAGACUGAAUUUAAAUGAGACAAAUACUCUGAAGUCCACCACCACUUUUUGAAGAUAAUCCUGUGGACUCGGGUUUUAUUAAACCUUUUUCCAGGAAGCGAUGUGCUAGUGAGCCAAGAAAGUAUAAAACCAUUUAUUAGAAAGGAAGAAGUAUCAGUUAAAAUAUCAGCAAAACAAACGGUCAAGUAUGUCAACUAGUCGGAAUUAAACUUUCUAAGGACACGACAACCAUUUCCACAGUCUUAUUUCUCCAGGUCAGUUUUGAGCAGAGGAAUGGGCAAAUUUACAUAAAAAGCAGAAAACGCAGUAUAUGGGCCAUAGAUACAGGCUCCUGUCUCCUUUGUGCAGAACUAUCAUCUUGUAAAUGGUCUCAAUUCCACAGUAAAAUCACCACUGAAUUCGUUUUGUGACCAAGGAUGAGCUCUGCACGGGCAACCUCUCCCGGUUGCCCUUGCGCGCAGCCUCCUUUCUUCCCUUAACUGUAAGGAUUUUAUUCUGAUCACGAGGCUCCGGAGGACCACCCCUUCGCCUCCGGAGACCAGAGGGCCCUAAAGCCACCGCCGGGCGGAGCGCACGGCUGGGGCGCAGCGCCUGACCUGGGCCGCGGCCACCGAGAGUUGGGCGACACUCUGGCAGGACCAGCCGCUCUGGUGCUUCGUGCUUCUGCGCUUCCCGCCGGUCUCCUCCCCGUUUCGGGCUCUUGCGGGGUCACCGCACGUCCCACCGACAAGCCCGCAGAGGCGAACUGGAGGCCCUCCGACCUCCGGGGGCGCACUGGUCUCCAAAGCUCGAGCUCGGGGAGCGCAGAGAGGACCGCGCUCCCCGGCUGUAUGCAAAUGAAGCGACUUUCCGGGUGUCGUCUGAUUGGAGGAGGCUCAGGACUCGGCAUCGCGCAGCAGCCAGUGUGGCUCCAGGGAUGCAGGGUUCUCAUACUCCAUUGGUGAACACAGCAUCCAGCGGCGGCGCUCUCCGAAUAUAAAAUCCACCGGCCGGCACCCGACUCGGCCUUCCGGACUGCAAGGUGCCGCCGGGGAGAGGGUGUGCAUCAUCCCGCGCUGCCUGCAGCUGGCCACCCGCUGUGACCUGAGCUCCACAAGCUGCUGGGCGGCGGGACCAUCGUGCGGGCGGCGUCCUGCCCAGCAUCCAGGCCGUGCUGCUGCAGCACCGAGCACAUAGCCAGAAACCUACUGUUGUGUUUCUUCGUGUCGAGUCUUUGUCCUUCCUUGUCUUUGUGCAGCUGAAGUCCUACAGGCAAGGCUGGCACAUGAGCUGGUAAUGACCCAGGCCCUUAACGCUUUAUCUCCGGACACAAGGACCCCCGGAAUAUCAGCAGGCAGGCCUCACUGAGCCCCCUCCCCCCCUACAACGCUAACCUCAGGCUCUUGAAUCUGUUCCUCCAGGGCUGCGCACUCUUCUUGGAGCCUAGCCUUCAAUACUCCUAUCUGUCUCCUUAGGAAGGCUGUGUGUUCCUUACACCUUCUAUUAAAUGAAGUCGUAGGCUUUUCUUUUGUGAA
This is a long non-coding RNA of Suricata suricatta (meerkat), 1583 nucleotides long. RefSeq lists it as uncharacterized. NCBI's taxonomy places the organism in Eukaryota, Metazoa, Chordata, Mammalia, Carnivora, Herpestidae. The record is from RefSeq and is a predicted model, not a curated record. The transcript has 2 exons.